GACGAACGCUGGCGGCGUGCUUAACACAUGCAAGUCGAACGAUGAACCCGGAGCUUGCUCCGGUGGAUUAGUGGCGAACGGGUGAGUAACACGUGAGUAACCUGCCCUUGACUCUGGGAUAACUGCGGGAAACUGUAGCUAAUACCGGAUACGACCCUCGGCGGCAUCGCCAGGGGGUGGAAAGAAUUUCGGUCAAGGAUGGACUCGCGGCCUAUCAGCUAGUUGGUGAGGUAACGGCUCACCAAGGCGACGACGGGUAACCGGCCUGAGAGGGCGACCGGUCACACUGGGACUGAGACACGGCCCAGACUCCUACGGGAGGCAGCAGUGGGGAAUAUUGCGCAAUGGGCGAAAGCCUGACGCAGCGACGCCGCGUGAGGGAUGAAGGUCUUCGGAUCGUAAACCUCUUUCAGUAGGGACGAAGCGAAAGUGACGGUACCUAAAGAAGAAGCACCGGCUAACUACGUGCCAGCAGCCGCCGCGG
Molecule: ribosomal RNA, 484 nt
Filed under: uncultured bacterium
Lineage: Bacteria
Description: partial 16S ribosomal RNA
Rfam family: Bacterial small subunit ribosomal RNA
Source: RNAcentral